UGUUUCUUUGGUCUUUUAAGUAAUAGUCAAGAAUUUGUUGAACCACAUUAGAGAAAUAUGUAUUGGUUAAAAUCUUGCUAGAAAGGAAGAAAAGGUCAAGACAGACUCUGACUUUGAAGGCCAACAAACUAGUCUUUAACUUUGGAAACGAAAUUAAAUUACUUAUAUUUAUGUGGGAUCUUUGAGAAUCUCUUACUCUCCCAAUGUUACAUAUUUGAAAAAUGUCAGGUGAUUAAUUUCUAACUGAACCUGAAUCAAGUUCAAGUCCAAAAAGUAAUAGUAACAAGUUUGACCUCAGCAAGGCGGCCUCUUUCUUUGUUUAAUGUGAUGUAUGCUGCUGUCUGAUUGAUAUGAACUAACAAGGUUGGAAACUAUCAAAUAGCGCCGAUGUUUGGAUACCGAUAAGCCCGUUCUUCUGACCAGGCCUGGCAAGUACAGAUUAUGCUUUGAAAAGUAAUAUUUACAGUGGAUAACAUCAUACUCUGUUCACUUCUGGUGGCUUGGAGCUGUUAGACGGGCCAGAAGUGAAAGAAAUAGUAGUGGGUCCACGCGUUGGCAUCGAUUAUGAUUUGCUUGAACAUGUUAGUGCCUUAUGGAGGUUUGAAAUUUCAGAUAUCCCUUGGAUAAGUGCUCCUAAAAACACCCUCAAGGCACCUUAAUUUUCAAAUCAUGGACAUGACUGAUGGAAGGAGUUUUUUUUUUUUUUCGGUUGACAAUCUUAUUGUUGCAUAUUUUGUUUUUUGUGUGGGUCUUGAACCACAAGGCAGUGUACAUACUGAAAAGGGUUGAAGUAAACUAAUGGAAUUUAGCUUUUACUGCA
Long non-coding RNA from Erigeron canadensis, 820 nucleotides. RefSeq lists it as uncharacterized. The record is from RefSeq and is a predicted model, not a curated record. The transcript is spliced from 3 exons. NCBI's taxonomy places the organism in Eukaryota, Viridiplantae, Streptophyta, Magnoliopsida, Asterales, Asteraceae.